RNAcentral lists this transfer RNA (82 nucleotides) under Scedosporium apiospermum. It matches the Rfam family "tRNA". From Rfam's summary of the family: Transfer RNA (tRNA) molecules are approximately 80 nucleotides in length. The record is from Rfam by way of RNAcentral. Lineage: Eukaryota; Fungi; Ascomycota; Sordariomycetes; Microascales; Microascaceae.
UCUUCCUUGGUCUAGUGGUCAGGAUACCUGCUUGUCAAAGAGCAAUUCGCAGGUGGCCGGGGUUCGAUUCCCCGAGGGAGAG